UGGCCUAGCUGGGAAGCAGGAAACCAAAACUGAAGUAAAAGAAGCCGGAGGCACUAAGUGUGCCACAAGGAGAAACAAGUUAGAACAGAAUGCGGUUUAGAGGUAUCAACGACCUUCCCUGUAAGGAAAUGGAGAUUUCUGACGUUGCAAAUGACUUGCCCAAGAUCAUGCAAUCUGUAACUGGUAAGCAGCAAAACUGGGACUUGUACCCACCAGCAUUCACUGCCAUAGUUUUGAACUAUAUUAAGGUUCAGAACUUAACGAUGGUUUUUCAGGACCAUAGUCCUAUGAGUAUUAAGGAUUUAGAUAUGCAUGUCGAUGCAUAUACACGGUUGCUAAGUUUAGAAGGAUGGACUAGAUGGUUUUCUUUAGAUGUCUGCCUGGCAUGUGACUGAUGACACAAUUGGUUCAACAAGCAUUCUAUUAGGUGUCAAGCAUUGUGGAAGAAUCUUAUCGCAUCUUGUUUACUCAAUUUAGCCUAUAGAUACCCAUUUCUGGUUUUAGUCUGAACGCCAGACAUCCAGAAGUCUGCCAUUGGAUGCUUUUGCUGCUUGCAAAUGUUUUCUGCCUCGCUGCUCUGCCUACUUCUCGUCUCCUCAAAGAUCAGUGGAAGGAGAGAAGAUUCUGGAAACGCAGGCCAUGUGCCAGCUCUCUUCUCUAACACUGUGUCCUAGCAUAACCUGUUCUGCUGCUGAGUCCUCAGUGAGAGAGGAUGCCGGCAUGGCUGCUUGGCCAGCCCUCAGGGUGUUAGGGAGGAAGACAGCAGAAACCCAGGGACAGCCAUGGUGGAGACGGAGCAAUCUAACCCCCGAGGCGCGGGGAGCAGAUGAAGGAAAGGAUGCCCUGGGAGGCACACCAGAGCAGAGGCGAGCUCCCACCAGUUUCUAUGUGAGGAUGCACAUUUGGCCUCCAGAAGCACCUGAGUAUCUGCCCCGGCAGCCCGACUGGAAUGUCAGCCCUUCACACGUAGAAGGCCUCAUGAAUACUUGUCCUGAGUGUUUAUUUAUUCAUUAUCCAAAGGGAAGCUGGGUAAAGCGCCAUGACCUCUAGAUUCCCUGAGAGUCUUGACUGCAAGCAUGAUUGUUCCAUUGUCAGGCUUUGUAUAUGACAAGUCUAUGACGUGUCUUAUCAUUAAUCCCUCAUACAAAUACGGAACUAAGCGAAAUACCUCAUCUAAGGAUCUAUAAAUGUGGCAGCGUGCUCUAUCGGAAAGGAUGUGACCUUUGGAAUCCAACAUACCUGGGUUUGACACUUGGCUUUUCUCUGUAAAGUACUUUGGACAUUAAAUGAGAAAAUAAAUGCAGAGCUCCUCACAUGAGGCGUAGAACAAUGCAGAUACUCAUCAAUGUCAGCACCUUCACGAAUAUGGCCUUUUUUAUUCCCAAAGAAGACACUGGGUCAAUGGUAUGGGAUUUAAGGUCCAUAUUUGAGUGGGUGAACCCACGACUUUAUCUACAAGGACUUUACAAAGAACACUUAACAUUUUGCCCGAGUGGAAAGACCGCAGCCCAUUUCAGAAGGAAGGAGCGCCGUUUCCAUGUCAGACAUAGGCCCGGACCGUCGCUUACCUCCCUCUCCGAAUAGAAGAAGAGGUCCUCAUGCAGUUCCCCAUCAGUCAGAGCGAUGAUGACGCUGGCUGUCCUGUAUCCUGCUCAAACAACACAGACCCACUCAGUUCAUCCCGCUGCACCAAGGGAAACCCCCUCUCGGCCCUGGGAGUCUGUCUCUUCGCGGCUCCCCCACCCAAGAUGAAGAAACAGAGGCACAGAGAGGUAAGGACCUUUCCCAUGGACUCAGACCCCAUGAUAUUCUCUCUCCAUCAACAGGACAAGAGAAUAAAUAAAUGCUCCCCUCCAUGUCUCCUAAUUUUGCCAUCUAAUCUUCUUGUACCUGAACGAAUAGUACUUUAAAAUGGAAUGAAUCCAGAGGCUUUCAAGCACAAAGUAUCUGAAGACUCUUUUUCUCUCUUGUUAUUUUUAAACUUAGAAAAAGCUUUUAGAACUAUGUCUCUUGGUAAUGACAGCCUGUAUUCAUUCUUCUCCAGGAAUCAAGUGAUGUGUUCAAAAUAUGUCAUUUUCCCCUGUGAUACUGAUGGCAAAACCACACUCUUCAAACCAAACCAAAGGCUGGCUGAGAGGGAUAGAGAAGUGUGGUCUCUUGGUUUCCACUCAGCAGUUUGAGCCAAGCGUUCCUGGCUUUUACUUCGGCUCCUUAAAACCAAUGGGGAACAAAGACAUGGAAAAAAUGGGGACUAGCUCAGAUGUGCUGUCUCCCCUUGUGAGGGUCUUAAGGAUAUUUGCCUCUCCAGGAUCUACCUGUUUGUUGGAUGGAAGGAAAGAAGAGCGUGGGGAGACGUCUCUAUUGCUCAUGGAUGUCUCCUGAUCUUUUGCCAGCUGGACAGCACCUCUUCCGGUCUCGUCUGGAUGAACAGCCUGGGCCUGAGGCUCAGACGGCUCCAGCCAAUUCCUGUGAUCCUAUGUGAACCCGAGGAACCUUCCCAGAAGAGUCAAGGAUUCUAGAGCACAGCUCCUUGGUGAACGGGCCUACCUAAUCAUCAACAGUAGAUGUCUGGGCUUAAUGCGAGCUGGGGGGUCUCCCCCAAAGCUCACCAGAACAGCAUAUCCCAGCCCUGCGCUUUUAAAGCUUUGGGAAGCCUUUUAUUAGAAUCCCAGCCAUCCUCCUGGACAAACUUCCGUUGUAUAUUUCAAAUCUCAAAGACUGGUCCUGGCUCCUCUUCUUCAGCUAUGGGGUAGAUGCUCUGGCUGGCGAUCCUAGUGAGGGUCUGGCAGAUCUGGCCCAAUGCUGUAUAGGUGCUUCAGACGAGGCACUGUGUGACUGCUACUCCAGUUAUAAUUCUACAACUCCUUUCCACUGGAAGCAAGAGACUUCCUUGAACACGGAUUGUCUGUGCCCACUUCUGAAAUACAAUUCUGUGUUUUGGCCCAUAUCACCGAAACAAGUACCAUCUGAAAUUUUGGGUCCUGAGGGGUAGGGUAAGACACCUAUGAUUAGGGAGGAAUCCCCACAGCUCCUCUAUUCCAUGGUUGAUUUUCUCAUUGGUAGAGAAGUCCUGUAGUGUGGGAAUUAAACUGGGAGGGGAGGCAAAGUAUAGGUAAAACAGGGACUUGAACUAGAACUGGGGGUCUGUUUUUGGCUGUCUGCUAAAGGAGCAGGGGUUUCGAGUAAAUCCUUUUUGAGUUUAUUUCUUUGUUUUCAAGGAUUGGCCGCAAAUCAUUUGCGUUCCUUUACUUAUUAAAAAGGGUCACCCAAUGUUAAUUUA
This is a long non-coding RNA of Aethalodelphis obliquidens (Pacific white-sided dolphin), 3280 nucleotides long. RefSeq lists it as uncharacterized. The record is from RefSeq and is a predicted model, not a curated record. The transcript is spliced from 8 exons. NCBI's taxonomy places the organism in Eukaryota, Metazoa, Chordata, Mammalia, Artiodactyla, Delphinidae.